RNAcentral lists this ribosomal RNA (3761 nucleotides) under Triticum aestivum (bread wheat). RNAcentral describes it as "partial small subunit ribosomal RNA". The record is from RNAcentral. Lineage: Eukaryota; Viridiplantae; Streptophyta; Magnoliopsida; Poales; Poaceae.
GUUCUCUUCGUCCUCGACAGUCAACAUAGCAGAGUCACAGACGGAACAAGUGUGAAAGCCCCGCGCGGUUUAUCCAACUCCUAGUCCGUAGCCCUGGCUCCCCCUCUGCCUCCUACCCUACGAGCUCCCCCUAGCUAGCUCCCCACCACCACCUCCUAUAGCCACCCAUGGCCAUCACCACCAUGUGUCGCCACCCCACCUCCACUCCCCACUUCCCACCCACUCCGCUUCCCGGCCCCCCAUUAAACGCCCGUGAGCUAGCACGCGAUCCCCUACCCACCACCGGGCGACGUGCUCCGUCUCCAUCACUCCUCCUCGACCGUUGCUCCGUGUCCGCGGAGAGGCGCUGCGUCCUCACCUGACGGCGGCCAUGAUAGGCAUCGACCUCAACACCGUGGAGGACGAGGAGGAGGGCGGUCCCUCGGCUGAGCCCCCGAGGGGCACGGUGUGCCUAGAGCUGUGGCACGCGUGCGCCGGCCCCGUGGGGCCGCUGCCUCGGAAGGGCAGCGCCGUCGUGUACCUGCCGGAGGGCCACCUCGAGCACACCCGGGAGGCGGUGGCCGCGGUGCCGCCCCAUGUGUUCUGCCGAGUUGUCGAUGUCAAUCUCCAGGCGGACCCAGCGACGGACGAGGUUUACGCGCAAGUUUCUCUCCUGGUCGACAACGAGGAAGCCAAGAGGCGGAUGCGCCAAGGGGAGAGCGAGGAAGCUUGCGACGGUGACGGCGAGGACACCGGUGCCGCGAAGCGCCGAGCUCGCAUGCCCCACAUGUUCUGCAAGACGCUCACGGCUUCCGACACCAGCACGCACGGGGGCUUCUCCGUGCCGCGCCGUGCCGCUGAGGACUGCUUCCCGCCUCUGGAUUACAACCUGCAGAGGCCGUCCCAGGAGCUUGUGGCCAAGGAUCUGCACGGCACCGAGUGGAGGUUCCGACAUAUCUAUCGAGGCCAGCCACGGAGGCACCUUUUAACCACUGGAUGGAGUGCAUUCGUCAACAAAAAGAAGCUUGUCUCUGGGGAUGCAGUGCUGUUCCUCCGAGGUGAAGAUGGAGUGCUCCAAUUGGGAGUGCGCCGAGCUGCUCAGCUAAAAAAUGUAUCCCCUUUUCCUGCACUUUUUAACCAGGAUUCAAGUCUUCGUAGUCUCGGUAAUGUUGCCCAUGCUGUGGCUAUGAAAAGUAUUUUUCACAUCUACUACAAUCCCAGGUACUUUGCUGAUUGUUUUCAUAACCGUCUCAAUUGCCUGUAUUAAUUAAGGUCGUACAAGUCGCUUCCUCUCCUUAUCUCAACCAUAAUAAGAAAAUGUUCGACUAAUGCACAGUUAUAGUGUUCACCUAGAAAAAGUUAGACACGUCGGCAACCAUAAUAAGAAAAGGUUGGAUGAAUACACAGUUCUAGUGUUUUCCUUGAACAAGUUGUACAUGUUGGCGACCAUAAUAAGAAAAGGUUGGGCGAAUCAGUUAUAGUGUCUUCCUAGAACAAAUUAUACUUGUCGGCUAUGGUAUCUUAAACUUUACGACUUGUCAGUCCUGUGCUAACUAUUUUGAAUACUCGUUCUUAAUACCGUACGACUCAUUUUUUAUUCAGCAGUCAGGUUCAGUUCCCUGGUGAAGACAGUUUUGAGUUGCUUCUUGUUCUUUGUUGCUUCCCCCAAUCCAACAUUUUGUAUCUCAUCUCAUUGGUCUGGCCAUCUAUGUUUCCUCGUAAAUGCUAAAUUAUCACAUUACAUGUUAUUCUCAAAGGUCAUUUAAUUGUGGCAUACUACACAUUUGGGGCAGCCAUUCAGAUUUGUUUGGUCAUGUCUGAAUUUGAUAUUGGGAAUUGACAUGUUCUGUUUAUUACUUGUGGACGUUUUCAUUAUGCUCAUUUAGCAUCAAUGCAACUAUUUUGAAAGUGCUCUAUCCCAUUAUUGAUAAUAACUAAACUAAAGAAAGAAAUAGAAUCUCGUCAGCACCCUGUUCAGAUAGAUAAUUCAGAUUGGUAAUAAUUUGCUUUGAUUCUCAUAAUAUUUGUGCAUUUCUCCUGUGCAACUUGGACGGUUCAUUUGUAUAGAAUAAGUUCAUUGGACUUGACAGGUUAUGUGAGUCUGAGUUCAUUGUACCAUAUUGGAAGUUCAUGAGAAGCUUCAGUCAACCUUUUUCUGUUGGAAUGAGGUUUAAAAUGAAAUACGAAAAUGAAGAUGCUUCAGAAAGAAGGUCAACUGGGAUGAUAACUGGGAGCAGAGAGUCAGACCUGAAGUCGCAUGGUUCGAAGUGGAAAUGUUUGGUGGUGAGAUGGGAUGAUGAUGUAGAGUGCCGUCGCCUUAAUAGGGUAUCUCCUUGGGAGAUUGAACUUGCUGGAUCGGUUUCGGGAUCUCAUCUGUCCUCUCCCCAUUCAAAACGGCUGAAGCCAUGCCUCCCCCAAGUUAAUCCAGACAUGUUGCUUCCAAGUGGAAGUGUUUCUUCGGAUUUUGCGGAAUCUGCCAGAUUCCACAAGGUCUUGCAAGGUCAAGAAUUAUUGGGUUCUAAAGCCCAUGAUGGUACUGUUAAUUCAGCUUCUGAGGCUUCUCAGGCGUCUGAAGCAAGAAAUUUUCAGUACAGUGAUGAUCGGAAUUGCUCUAUCAACAUGUGUAACAUUCCAGGGGUUCCAGGACUUGGUGCUAGAACCCCGCCUGAAAACCAUGGAUUUUCCUACCACUGCUCAGGCUUUGGGGAGUCUCAAAGAUUCCAAAAGGUCUUGCAAGGUCAAGAAGUGUUUGGUCCUUAUGAAGGAGGAACUUUGUCUGAUGCUGUUAUAAGAGGUUCUAGCUUCUGUCAACCUGAUGGCAACUAUACAUCUCGUGCAACAUAUAAAUGGCUUAUGUCACAGGGAUGCGAUUAUCGUGGGCCAGUAACACCAGCAAUGCCUCAAGCAUCCUCUCCAUUAUCUGUGCUAAUGUUCCCUCAAACUAGUUCCAAGAUACAUGGCUUUGAAUACGUAUGCAGAAGCCUGGAUAAGGAUGAUAAUAUUAGACAUGUUACUAUCAACGCCACUCAAGAUAUGGGAAGAACCAGUCAUACAUUACCUCUCUGGCCUCGUCUUGUUUCAGGCAAAGCAGUAGCUAGUUGUGCUGGAACUAAAAAGUUGCCCUCCAUCGGCAGUGCAGAGCAUGAACCAAAUGACAAGGAUGUUCACACAAAUGGCUGCAAAAUCUUUGGUAUCUCUUUGACUCAGAAGGUUCGAGUAUGCGAUGAAGUGGAAUGUAGCAGUGCGAAUUGUGAUUUUUAGCUCCAGCCUUUAAAGCCACAAAUGUCAAAAUCACUAGGCAACAGUUGUGCUACUGUUCAUGAGCAAAGGCCUGCUGUUGGCAUGGUGGUUGACCUUUCUGCGGUUGAUACGAUGAUCUGAUUCGUCUAACUGUGUCCUGGGAGGAGAAGCGGGGCCUACAGCAGGAUUCAUGUUAGUGAUGUGAUACUCAAUGACGCAAAACUUCCACCUGGUUAUUUCAUCCUAUGUGCACAGUUGGCACCGAGUUCAGUAAACACAUCAUGGUUGAUGAGUUGCUGAUGCUUAUCAAAUUUGUAAUGCACUUCUAGAAUUUGAUUUGUUAUAACAUCUAUCUGAAGCUCUCUUUUGAAUCAUCAUUUAUGUUGUACGAGCUGCUAGUGUGUUUUUAAGCUGCAUGGUAUGUUAUGACUUGUUUGUACUAGCACGAUUUAAUUUCGAAGAAUAGAUGUAGUUCUUGUUUGAAUUAGCACCAUUUAUUACAAAGUACUCUAUAAUGUGUAUUUUUUUGAAGUUAAUUUUCU